AAUAUGUCCAACAUGAUCCAAGCCAAGAUAAUGGAGAAUCAGAAGACUCCAGUCAGCACGACUAAGUUCAUCAACCAAAUGUCGAGAUACAUUUUGAUCUACUUGGACAGUGUCUUUAACAAAGAAACUGCUCACUCCAUCAUGCCUCGAAAACAUUCCAGGAAACAACUUAAGCCAUGUCUCAUCACCAUGCAUCACAAGUUUCCAACCAACUUUUAGGAAUUGAACAAUUAUGUUGUCGUCCAGCAAAACUUGUGUAUUGAAGUUGAAGGCAACAUCCAAAAAUCCCCCAACUGCUCCAGAAACCAUGGCCUUCAAGCGAGGCAUUGUGACAGUAGGAGGUGCAGCCUUUGCAUGAUAGCCAAUUGCCCUCCCCUUACUCAAUAAGGAUUGAGUAUAUGGCAUAGCUUCCAUGAAAG
This 419-nucleotide unclassified non-coding RNA is filed under the name Hevea brasiliensis (rubber tree). The record is from RNAcentral. Lineage: Eukaryota; Viridiplantae; Streptophyta; Magnoliopsida; Malpighiales; Euphorbiaceae.